Molecule: long non-coding RNA, 445 nt
Filed under: Mytilus galloprovincialis (Mediterranean mussel)
Lineage: Eukaryota; Metazoa; Mollusca; Bivalvia; Mytilida; Mytilidae
Source: RNAcentral
AAAAGUAAAAAAGCUUGUGGGAAGGGUAACUUUACUUUUUAACACAAGAAAAGAAAAUAAAAAAAAUAUGGUUUUGAAGUAUUUCACCUAAAAUAAAAAGUUUAGGGUUUUCACAAUGAUUAAGGGUCGCUGUAAUAUAUUUUUUUCCUGAUCUUCUGGAAGACAUUUAAAGUUGAAUUUACAAUCCAAAGAAACUCAGACUUACAUGGAAACUUUGCUAAUAAUGCAGAAAGUCCUUUGACAUUUACUUUCCAUUUGUUUAAUGUGUUGGCCAUUUGAUAAGAGUUUUUCUCAAAUGACUAUUCCUUGGAGUCGGUAUUAUUCUAAUUUUUUUUUUUUUUUUAAAUUUCCUAACAUGUGCUAACAAAGUAUAAUUUAUUUUAAUUUCUUAAACCAGAAAUUGGUCAGAAGAAUCAUUCUUUUCUUUCAAAAAAUGAACAAUUCG